Molecule: ribosomal RNA, 341 nt
Filed under: uncultured Pseudomonadota bacterium
Lineage: Bacteria; Pseudomonadati; Pseudomonadota
Description: bacterial SSU rRNA
Rfam family: Bacterial small subunit ribosomal RNA
Source: RNAcentral
AAUGAACGCUGGCGGCGUGCUUAACACAUGCAAGUCGCACGAGAACGCUUUAGCUUGCUAAAGCAAGUAAAGUGGCGCACGGGUGAGUAACGCGUGGAUAAUCUACCUCUAUCUGGGGGAUAACCCAUCGAAAGGUGGGCUAAUACCGCAUAAUCCGGCUGAUUUUUGGAUUGGCCGGCAAAGGUGGCCUCUUGAUCAAAGCUACCGGGUUGAGAUGAGUCCGCGUCCCAUUAGCUUGUUGGUAGGGUAACGGCCUACCAAGGCGACGAUGGGUAGCUGGUCUGAGAGGACGAUCAGCCACACUGGAACUGGUACACGGUCCAGACUCCUACGGGAGGCAG